GCCAUGUUGCCGCUACGCAGUUUAUUUACUAACCGUUGAACCGUCGCUACUCUAGCUUUCACAAUAAGCUUCACUGUUUAAAAAAAGUGUGUUUAUUCCGCGCUCUCCGCCGCUGUUGCGAGUAUUUACGGAUUACUUUUUGCUUCCUUCAAGCUGUCCUCUCUGUUGGCAAAAUCAGACCUUCAACACCCAACAUGAUUCCUAAAAGACCUGCUUUACUUCACAAAGCCAGACAGACAAAGUGGCAUUUCCUGACUGUUCCCAUCCCCGUCUGAGUUAUCUGACACCCAAAAAUACGGCUACGGGGAAGCAGGGAGACGAGGCACCACAGCCUUAUCCCGUCACCUGACCAAACGCCAUGCAAAUCACUCUGCUGCUAGAGCCUCAUUGGCCGCUUGUGGCUCAUUUAACCGCUGUCAGUGCGCAUCAUAUGGCCGCCGCUUUAACCAACUUCUCAACUCCGACAAGGGAAAGUGGCUCCAAUGCGCAUUCUGUCACAGUGGA
Non-coding RNA from Plectropomus leopardus (leopard coralgrouper), 504 nucleotides. Lineage: Eukaryota; Metazoa; Chordata; Actinopteri; Perciformes; Serranidae. The record is from RefSeq and is a predicted model, not a curated record.